Molecule: long non-coding RNA, 378 nt
Filed under: Eucalyptus grandis
Lineage: Eukaryota; Viridiplantae; Streptophyta; Magnoliopsida; Myrtales; Myrtaceae
Description: long non-coding RNA (EGRA_LNC001057)
Source: RNAcentral
UACGAACCCAGCUUACCCAAGUUCUACGAUUUCUUCCCUCUCUCCCCUAGCUUACCCCACCCAUUCACAAUGAGUUCCCGUAUGAACAAAAAAACGCAAACUUUUCCACCAAUUUGACAAGAAAUCCAGCUCAGGAAAGCACCCCCAAAAGAAAACGAGAAGAACCCAGCUUCAAUCUGAAAGAAAAUUUUAGAAAAACCGAGGAAAUUUGCGAGCUUACAGAUGAGGAAGCCGGCGAUGGAUGAAAUAGAGCGAGGGGGAGCUGCCGAUGGCGCGACAAGGAAGCAGAUGAACGCAGAUGAGGAAGCAGCGCGACGGGGAGCUGGAUCUAACGAUGGCGCAACGGGGAGCUGGCGAUGGCGCGACGAAGGAAAACAC